CCUCGGGCGGCAGCAGUGGGGAAUAUUGGACAAUGGGGGGAACCCUGAUCCAGCCAUGCCGCGUGUGUGAAGAAGGCCCUCGGGUUGUAAAGCACUUUCAGUGAGGAAGAACGCCUGGUGGUUAAUACCCAUCAGGAAAGACAUCACUCACAGAAGAAGCACCGGCUAACUCCGUGCCAGCAGCCGCGGUAAUACGGAGGGUGCGAGCGUUAAUCGGAAUUACUGGGCGUAAAGCGCGCGUAGGUGGCUUGAUAAGCCGGUUGUGAAAGCCCCGGGCUCAACCUGGGAACGGCAUCCGGAACUGUCAAGCUAGAGUGCAGGAGAGGAAGGUAGAAUUCCCGGUGUAGCGGUGAAAUGCGUAGAGAUCGGGAGGAAUACCAGUGGCGAAGGCGGCCUUCUGGACUGACACUGACACUGAGGUGCGAAAGCGUGGGUAGCAAACAGGAUUAGAUACCCGGGUAGUC
RNAcentral lists this ribosomal RNA (464 nucleotides) under Vreelandella stevensii. Its description in RNAcentral is "partial 16S ribosomal RNA". It matches the Rfam family "Bacterial small subunit ribosomal RNA", at positions 339 to 795 of the family's 1533-position model. Lineage: Bacteria; Pseudomonadati; Pseudomonadota; Gammaproteobacteria; Oceanospirillales; Halomonadaceae. The record is from RNAcentral.